UACGUAGGGCGCAAGCGUUGUCCGGAUUUAUUGGGCCUAAAGCAUCCGUAGCCUGUUCUGUAAGUUUUCGGUUAAAUCCAUAAGCUCAACUUAUGGGCUGCCGAAAAUACUGCAGAACUAGGGAGUGGGAGAGGUAGACGGUACUCAGUAGGAAGGGGUAAAAUCCUUUGAUCUAUUGAUGACCACCUGUGGCGAAGGCGGUCUACCAGAACACGUUCGACGGUGAGGGAUGAAAGCUGGGGGAGCAAACCGG
This 253-nucleotide ribosomal RNA is filed under the name uncultured archaeon. RNAcentral describes it as "partial 16S ribosomal RNA". It matches the Rfam family "Bacterial small subunit ribosomal RNA", at positions 524 to 776 of the family's 1533-position model. The record is from RNAcentral.